GAUGAAGAACGUAGCGAAAUGCGAUAAGUAGUGUGAAUUGCAGAAUUCCGUGAAUCAUCGAAUCUUUGAACGCACAUUGCGCCCGCCAGUAUUCUGGCGGGCAUGCCUGUUCGAGCGUCAUUUCAACCAUCAAGCCCCCGGCUUGUGUUGGGGACCUGCGGCUGCCGCAGGCCCUGAAAUGCAGUGGCGGGCUCGCUGUCACUCCGAGCGUAGUAGUUACAUCUCGCUCUGGGCGUGCUGCGGGUUCCGGCCGUUAAAAGCCUUAUUUACCCAAGGUUGACCUCGGAUCAGGUAGGAAGACCCGCUGAACUUAAGCAUAUCAAUAAGCGGAGGA
RNAcentral lists this unclassified non-coding RNA (334 nucleotides) under soil metagenome. RNAcentral describes it as "partial contains 5.8S ribosomal RNA, internal transcribed spacer 2, and large subunit ribosomal RNA". The stretch from base 1 to 120 matches the Rfam family "5.8S ribosomal RNA", at positions 35 to 154 of the family's 154-position model. The record is from RNAcentral.